RNAcentral lists this transfer RNA (72 nucleotides) under Camelus bactrianus (Bactrian camel). It matches the Rfam family "tRNA". From Rfam's summary of the family: Transfer RNA (tRNA) molecules are approximately 80 nucleotides in length. RNAcentral also lists the same sequence under 2 other names. Lineage: Eukaryota; Metazoa; Chordata; Mammalia; Artiodactyla; Camelidae. The record is from Rfam by way of RNAcentral.
GAGGGUGUAGCUCAGUGGUAGAAUGCGUGCCUAGCAUGCAUGAGGUCCUGGGUUCAAUCCCCAGUACCUCCA